This 498-nucleotide ribosomal RNA is filed under the name uncultured bacterium. RNAcentral describes it as "partial 16S ribosomal RNA". It matches the Rfam family "Bacterial small subunit ribosomal RNA", at positions 28 to 507 of the family's 1533-position model. The record is from RNAcentral.
GAUGAACGCUGGCGGCGUGCCUAAUACAUGCAAGUCGAGCGAACGGACGAGAAGCUUGCUUCUCUGAUGUUAGCGGACGGACGGGUGAGUAACACGUGGAUAACCUACCUAUAAGACUGGGAUAACUUCGGGAAACCGUAGCUAAUACCGGAUAAUAUUUUGAACCGCAUGGUUCAAAAGUGAAAGACGGUCUUGCUGUCACUUAUAGAUGGAUCCGCGCUGCAUUAGCUAGUUGGUAAGGUAACGGCUUACCAAGGCAACGAUGCAUAGCCGACCUGAGAGGGUGAUCGGCCACACUGGAACUGAGACACGGUCCAGACUCCUACGGGAGGCAGCAGUAGGGAAUCUUCCGCAAUGGGCGAAAGCCUGACGGAGCAACGCCGCGUGAGUGAUGAAGGUCUUCGGAUCGUAAAACUCUGUUAUUAGGGAAGAACAUAUGUGUAAGUAACUGUGCACAUCUUGACGGUACCUAAUCAGAAAGCCACGGCUAACUACGUG